CAGCCGCCGCGGGAAUACGAAGGGGGCUAGCGUUGCUCGGAAUUACUGGGCGUAAAGGGAGCGUAGGCGGAUCGUUAAGUUGGGGGUGAAAGCCCGGGGCUCAACCUCGGAACUGCCUUCAAUACUGGCGAUCUUGAGUAUGAGAGAGGUGUGUGGAACUCCGAGUGUAGAGGUGAAAUUCGUAGAUAUUCGGAAGAACACCAGUGGCGAAGGCGACACACUGGCUCAUUACUGACGCUGAGGCUCGAAAGCGUGGGGAGCAAACAGGAUUAGAUACCCCAGUAGUCCCUGUCUCUUAUAC
RNAcentral lists this ribosomal RNA (301 nucleotides) under uncultured bacterium. RNAcentral describes it as "partial 16S ribosomal RNA". It matches the Rfam family "Bacterial small subunit ribosomal RNA", at positions 509 to 807 of the family's 1533-position model. The record is from RNAcentral.